RNAcentral lists this ribosomal RNA (253 nucleotides) under uncultured bacterium. RNAcentral's name for it is "partial 16S ribosomal RNA". It matches the Rfam family "Bacterial small subunit ribosomal RNA", at positions 524 to 776 of the family's 1533-position model. The record is from RNAcentral.
UACGUAGGGUGCGAGCGUUAAUCGGAAUUACUGGGCGUAAAGCGUGCGUAGGCGGUUCUCCAAGUCCGUUGUGAAAUCCCCGGGCUCAACCUGGGAAUGGCAGUGGAUACUGGCAAGCUAGAGUGCGGUAGAGGGUAGUGGAAUUCCCGGUGUAGCGGUGAAAUGCGUAGAGAUCGGGAGGAACACCAGUGGCGAAGGCGGCUACCUGGACCAGCACUGACACUGAGGCACGAAAGCGUGGGGAGCAAACAGG